AAGACGAACCGUACGAACGUUAUUCGGAAUCACUGGGCUUAAAGGGUGCGUAGGCGGCGCGGAAAGUUGGGUGUGAAAUCCCUCGGCUCAACCGAGGAACUGCGCCCAAAACUACCGUGCUCGAGGGAGACAGAGGUGAGCGGAACUUAGGGUGGAGCGGUGAAAUGCGUUGAUAUCCUAAGGAACACCUGUGGCGAAAGCGGCUCACUGGGUCUCUUCUGACGCUGAGGCACGAAAGCUAGGGGAGCGAACG
RNAcentral lists this ribosomal RNA (253 nucleotides) under uncultured prokaryote. RNAcentral describes it as "partial 16S ribosomal RNA". It matches the Rfam family "Bacterial small subunit ribosomal RNA", at positions 522 to 774 of the family's 1533-position model. The record is from RNAcentral.